UUCCCAUGGAGACGGUGAAGUGGUUCAAAGGUCCUGCUACGUCCACGAUUGACCUGCUGGGCAUUCUGAAGAAUUCAGAGGGAACACGCUUGAAGUAAGAUUCACAAUGAAGACUUCUAUAAGUGUCUUAUGCAUGUACUAAGACAAUCAUAUCAAGGACAGACGCUACAUCUGGAGUGGAUAAAUACACCUUCAGCAAUCAUCUGGUACAACAGGAAGGACUCCAACAACCUUCAGGCAUUAGUCCUCCAACUCCAGCAAUACGCUGUAAGUUGAAAACCAAAAGGAUAGCUUAUUGUUGCUUAAUCUUACACCUUGAAGACUCCAUACUUAUUAAUAGCCAGCAGCAGCACAAAAAAGAACGGAAAAAAUAGUUAUCAGGAGAGGAUGAUGAUCCAGCACAUGAGCAAAAGCUGCCCUGGCUUCUCAUCAGCCAGCGAGGGCGACGCAGGAGGUGCUCUCCUCGGCACCGUCGGCGGUGCUGGAGCACCAGGCAUCGUCGGAGAUGAACUGCAUCCAAGAGUCGUCCUUGUCGGGAUCGUCCUCGGCGUCGGCGCCGGAGGUCGAACCGACAGGCACGUCCGGCGACGGUGUCUCGUACUGCUCCUGGCCGCCGCUGGCGAGCAGCUGCUGGCAGGCACCCUCCAGCAACGCCAUGCUGCAUUGGCCCUGCAGCUCCUCCACCUCGCUGCAGAUCGCGUUCUUCUUGAAGACUCGGCAUAGCGCGAAAGAGGUAUGUUAAUAAGAGAGAAUUAAAGAAGACGGCCCAGUAGGAAGGGCAGGAUGCGAGUAUGAUGAUGGAUUCAGCAUGGAAUAAAGUGGAAAGCAAGGCGACACCGACUUGCAUGGCCAUGAGAGAUCAGUGUCUGCUCAUCCCAGGAUAAAGGGAGGAUUAGUUGUAAAACACACCAAGGAAUGCAGUAAUCAGUCCUUGUCGUCGAGGCGGUACUCGUGCAUGACCCAGUCGGUGCGGACGCCCUGCGGCGCGCGGCCGCGGUAGUAGACGAGCGUCUUCUUCAUGCCGAUGGAGCGGCCGCCGUGCUGGUGCACCACCCGCCGGUCCUUCCCCGUCGACUUCCAGUACCCGGCCCUCGUCGCCCGGUUCGUCCUGAACCCGUUCGGGUACUUCCUGUCCCGUGGCCCGAAGAAAUACCAC
This is a long non-coding RNA of Oryza brachyantha (malo sina), 1156 nucleotides long. RefSeq lists it as uncharacterized. The transcript has 6 exons. The record is from RefSeq and is a predicted model, not a curated record. NCBI's taxonomy places the organism in Eukaryota, Viridiplantae, Streptophyta, Magnoliopsida, Poales, Poaceae.